GACGAACGCUGGCGGCGUGCCUAAUACAUGCAAGUAGAACGCUGAAGAGAGGAGCUUGCUCUUCUUGGAUGAGUUGCGAACGGGUGAGUAACGCGUAGGUAACCUGCCUUGUAGCGGGGGAUAACUAUUGGAAACGAUAGCUAAUACCGCAUAACAAUGGAUGACACAUGUCAUUUAUUUGAAAGGGGCAAUUGCUCCACUACAAGAUGGACCUGCGUUGUAUUAGCUAGUAGGUGAGGUAAUGGCUCACCUAGGCGACGAUACAUAGCCGACCUGAGAGGGUGAUCGGCCACACUGGGACUGAGACACGACCCAGACUCCUACGGGAGGCAGCAGUAGGGAAUCUUCGGCAAUGGGGGCAACCCUGACCGAGCAACGCCGCGUGAGUGAAGAAGGUUUUCGGAUCGUAAAGCUCUGUUGUAAGUCAAGAACGGGUGUGAGAGUGGAAAGUUCACACUGUGACGGUAGCUUACCAGAAAGGGACGGCUAACUACGUG
RNAcentral lists this ribosomal RNA (497 nucleotides) under uncultured bacterium. RNAcentral describes it as "partial 16S ribosomal RNA". It matches the Rfam family "Bacterial small subunit ribosomal RNA", at positions 28 to 507 of the family's 1533-position model. The record is from RNAcentral.